This 331-nucleotide unclassified non-coding RNA is filed under the name soil metagenome. RNAcentral describes it as "partial contains 5.8S ribosomal RNA, internal transcribed spacer 2, and large subunit ribosomal RNA". The stretch from base 1 to 120 matches the Rfam family "5.8S ribosomal RNA", at positions 35 to 154 of the family's 154-position model. The record is from RNAcentral.
GAUGAAGAACGUAGUGAAAUGCGAUAAGUAAUGUGAAUUGCAGAAUUCAGUGAAUCAUCGAAUCUUUGAACGCACAUUGCGCCCCCUGGUAUUCCGGGGGGCAUGCCUGUUCGAGCGUCAUUUCACUACUCAAGCCUCGCUUGGUAUUGGGCAACGCGGUCCGCCGCGUGCCUCAAAUCGACCGGCUGGGUCUUCUGUCCCCUAAGCGUUGUGGAAACUAUUCGCUAAAGGGUGUUCGGGAGGCUACGCCGUAAAACAACCCCAUUUCUAAGGUUGACCUCGGAUCAGGUAGGGAUACCCGCUGAACUUAAGCAUAUCAAUAAGCGGAGGA